AUUAGGUUGGUGUGUGUUUGAAUCUUCUUAAGGGUGUGUUCGUUUGGUAAGAUUUGGAGGAGAUGAUUUGGGAGAGAUGAUUUAAUGGAUUUGAGUGGAUUUGAAGAUAAUUUUUGUAGUUUUUUUGAGUGGAUUUGUGGGUGAUUGAGAGUAGAUUUGAGGGUAAAGUUUGUGAGAAUUAGUGUAGGAUUUGAUUGAUGUGACAAAUUUAAAAAAUUAGUUUAAUUGGUAAAAAUUGAAGAUUACCAAUAUGCCCCUACGUAUUAAAGUAAUAUAAUGAUAUAUUUAAUUUGUUUAAUG
This 300-nucleotide long non-coding RNA is filed under the name Vigna radiata. RNAcentral's name for it is "long non-coding RNA (VRAD_LNC002307)". The record is from RNAcentral. Lineage: Eukaryota; Viridiplantae; Streptophyta; Magnoliopsida; Fabales; Fabaceae.